AGAGUUUGAUCCUGGCUCAGGAUGAACGCUAGCUACAGGCUUAACACAUGCAAGUCGAGGGGAAACGGACAUCGAAAGCUUGCUUUUGAUGGGCGUCGACCGGCGCACGGGUGAGUAACGCGUAUCCAACCUGCCCACCACUUGGGGAUAACCUUGCGAAAGUAAGACUAAUACCCAAUGAUAUCUCUAGAAGACAUCUGAAAGAGAUUAAAGAUUUAUCGGUGAUGGAUGGGGAUGCGUCUGAUUAGCUUGUUGGCGGGGUAACGGCCACCAAGGCGACGAUCGAGUAGGGGUUCUGAGAGGAAGGUCCCCCANAUUGGAACUGAGACACGGUCCAAACUCCUACGGGAGGCA
RNAcentral lists this ribosomal RNA (354 nucleotides) under uncultured bacterium. RNAcentral describes it as "bacterial SSU rRNA". It matches the Rfam family "Bacterial small subunit ribosomal RNA", at positions 8 to 350 of the family's 1533-position model. The record is from RNAcentral.